CAGGCGGCUGGGAAGUCUGGACGGCGCCCAUACCAAAGGGAGGACGUCUGCCUGGAAGCAUGUGUGUAUGAUCCAAUACAAGAUACAACACUGCAUUUAGUCUUCACGUCUCCUUAGUCUCCUGGUUUCUCAGCUAUUCCUUGUAUUCUGUGACCUUGAGAAUUUUGGAGAGCACAGGUCAAAUAUUUUGCGGAGUGCCCCUCAAUUUGACUUUCUUGAUGUUUUCUCAUGAUUAGGCUGGGGUUGUGGGUUAAUGGGAGGACCACGGAGGUGAAGUACCCCCUCACUGCACCACAGCAGAGAGUGUCACGUCAACGUCAACAGGACCUACCACGUGGUUAUGACUGGUUUCUCCACUGUGGAGUUACUGUGUCCCCAUCCUACAUGCUAUUCUUUGGCAGUGUGUCACAGGCCAGCCUACACUCAAGGGGAGGGGGAUUAAGUUCCAAACCUUCUGGGGUGGGUGGGGGGAGUAUCUACAUAUAUUAUCUGGAAUUUUUCAGAGAGAAAUAUUUGUCCUUUGUCUCUCAUUUAUGUGUUCAAUCAUUUAUUUAUAUCACUAUGGAGCCGUGGAUAUGCAUUUUAUUUUGCAGGGUUAUAAUUAUUCAUGUUGUCACUCAGGUUGUCCCAGUUUGGGAAUGAGGGUCUCUUUCAGCUUGGCUCCAGUGUUCUUCAGCUUCCCCACCCCACCUCCUUUUUGUUUUUGGUGAGCACUUUCUUUCUUUCUUUUUUUUUUUUUUUUCAUUCUGGCUCUAUAAGGUUCCUCUUAUAUUUUUCCUGCUCUGCCUUACAAUCAGCCUUUUCUCCUAGGAGUCCUGAUUUCUUUCCUUGGAGAAUUGUAUUUAAAAACCAAUCACUGGGCCCUGGGGAUGCUCAUUGCUACUGGGGUGUCAGUCACUGCUUCCAGACCUUCUCAGCAGACAGAGCUAGGAAAUAUCUGUAUGUACAUGUGCAUAGACACAUAGCUAUAAUCACUUCUGUAUUUCUACUUAUCAGUAUAAGUAAAUACGAGUUCUUAAAAUAAACAAGAAUUCACGUGGUUACACUAAUCUCUAAUCCACGAUUAUAGGGUUCAUUCUAGUCUUCUUCCUUCACUAAUUUGUAAUUUCUUUCUCUGACAGUGAAAAUCUUGGCUUUCACUAUUGACGACUCAUUUACUUACUUAUUCAGUCCUAAAAUAUAUGUAGCAGUUUCAGAACUGAGUUUUGUAUACUGAUUUUUUCUUUCUUCUUGUUUUUAAUGUUAACUUUCUAGAAGCAUAAAAUACAUUCAUAAAAGUGCACAACUCAAAAGUGUAAGGCUUGCAUUUUCAAAAAGUGAGCACAUUCUGUUAACCUGCACCCAGAAGAUCAAGAAACAAAACGUUAUCAAAAUUUCAGAAGCCCCGUGACUCUUGGCAGUCAUGUCUCCCCUAUACACAGAAAGCCCUAAUUUGACUUCUAACGCUAUUAGUGAGUUUUGGCUGUUUUUGAACUUUAUGGAAAGGAACCAGACUGAAUUGUAUCUGCUUCUUUUGCUUGGCAUAAUGCUUUGAGGUCCACCCCUGUUGUUGCAGGUAGUUAUAGCUUAUUCAUUCCCAUGUGUCCUGCUUUCUUAAGAUUGUAUCAUGAGUUCUUUUCCACAGUCUUAAGUGUGUUUCUCCAGUGCGAUUUUAAUGGCUAUAUAAUAUUCCACAGUUUGAUAAUACCAUAAACUAUUUACUUAUCCCAUCUUGUCUGUCAUUUGAUGGGCCUCUAAUUCCUGCAUUAUGAUAACACUAGUCAAUGUUACCUUAAGAAGAUUGAUGUAAUAAUCCUAAUGCCUCAGAGUUAGUCUCAUCACAUCUGGAGGUUUGCAUUCUAUUCCAGCCUUAGUCCUCACAGCACAUCCAGAGGGGGCCUAAGAGGGUGCUGAGGAUUCUGGAAGCUGUGGCUUAGGAAGCUCAGCUUGGGGAACUGGACUAUUAGGCAUGGGGGUAGACAAGAUAGCUGUUUUCAAAUAUUUGAAGCACUAUUUGAAAGAGUGUUUUAUGAAGUUUUAUUCUGUUUUAUGAAGUUUUAGUCCUCAUGUUUAGCUAGGAAGAGACAGGUUUUUUGUUUGUUCUGUUUUGUUUUGAACCUAUAAUAGUAUAAGGAAGGUGAUGAAUAAGACAGGUACUAGAAAUAACUACACCUGAAUGACACCCAUGAACUGGGACUGCCCUGCGCAAACCAGGCCAUCCAUCAUCACCCCAGGCACAAGAAACUCUUUCUAAUGAGUACAGACUUGACUGAGAAAUGAAAAGGCUGAUGUACAGUGCUGAUCUUUCUGUUAUUUGAGAUGUGUUAUAGUGUUAGGCAGGAUUGUGCAAAGGUUUCCUACAUUGGGAGGGAGGCUACACUAGAUGACGUCCAAGUGGCUGGAUGAUCAUUGGAUGGCAGUCUAGUUCUGAAAGUCCAUAAUUCAGCCUGGAAAAUGAUCAGCAGUAUUGCCAAAGUGAGUAAAUAAGAUUUACAUUUCUCUCUUCCUGGUCCUUAUAGAAGCAUGAUUUCCAUCUGGUCCUCAUACUUGCCUUUUUUAAACAGCUUUAUUGGUGUCUGGUUGCCGAGAGUUAAUAGAGUGUUGUGCACUUAGAAAUUUGCUGAAAGAGAAGAUCUCAUGAUAAAUGUUCAAAAUUGGCUUUUGCAAGGCUAGAAGAGAGGACAGGGAUGAUGCUUUGUAACUUGUCAGAUGCUGGGCCUGAAGUUCAAUGUUCUGUGGUGAUUGAGGGUCGAUUCUCUCUGAAGUUUUGAGAAUUUAAACGACUUAUUCAGGGUGCACGAGUCAGAAUGUUUUGGUUGUAAGAAACAAAAGUCACUGGCACUAACAUAAGCCUGAGGCUCAAAUACAUCUAUGAUCUUGAAUUAUAUGAGUGACCCCUCUAUCUUGAUAACAUAUUACCACUUAAAAA
Long non-coding RNA from Homo sapiens (human), 2908 nucleotides. The record is from Ensembl. Lineage: Eukaryota; Metazoa; Chordata; Mammalia; Primates; Hominidae.